UACGUAGGGCGCGAGCGUUGUCCGGAAUUAUUGGGCGUAAAGAGCUCGUAGGCGGUCUGUCGCGUCGGAUGUGAAAGCCCGGGGCUUAACCCCGGGUCUGCAUUCGAUACGGGCAGACUAGAGUGUGGUAGGGGAGAUCGGAAUUCCUGGUGUAGCGGUGAAAUGCGCAGAUAUCAGGAGGAACACCGGUGGCGAAGGCGGAUCUCUGGGCCAUUACUGACGCUGAGGAGCGAAAGCGUGGGGAGCGAACAGG
RNAcentral lists this ribosomal RNA (253 nucleotides) under uncultured bacterium. Its description in RNAcentral is "partial 16S ribosomal RNA". It matches the Rfam family "Bacterial small subunit ribosomal RNA", at positions 524 to 776 of the family's 1533-position model. RNAcentral also lists the same sequence under 2 other names. The record is from RNAcentral.